Drosophila gunungcola (fruit fly) is the source of this 2315-nucleotide long non-coding RNA. RefSeq lists it as uncharacterized. The record is from RefSeq and is a predicted model, not a curated record. The transcript is spliced from 3 exons. Lineage: Eukaryota; Metazoa; Arthropoda; Insecta; Diptera; Drosophilidae.
AAUACAUGUUAAAGAAACUAAUUAACUAAAAAAUAUGAUAUAACAUUUAAUAACCAUUUGAUUUUAUAAAACUUUAAACACGGCUCUCAUUUAUUUUUGCAAAUUUUAACAUCCUUAACUUUUAUAAAUAUCAAACCAAGAGAUUAACUGUCGACUACUUUGUUUGGGAGCAUUUAAGUCAAAAAUUCAAGAGAUUUAUUCGGAAUCUAUAAAUUCCAAAGCUUCUAUCCAAAAUAGCUUACAUUGCUUGUUCGAUUUCCCUCCAAGUACAUACUUAUAUUCCCUGUAUUAUUGCCAUCCACUUCUUCAGUAUGGCUCGUAAAUUCUGGAAAAAUAUUUCUACCAAGCCGCAGCAUCUGUGGCUUUUCGGUUUUUCGCUUUUGACUUUGACUUCAGCAGUUGGGCUCUCCAUUAUCGUGCCGAUCAUCAGCGCUUUGUGUGUGCAUUUGUCGGGGGUUAUGCAGUUAUGUACAAGUCUAUAUAAUCGUGCCCCACUUGAGUGGUGCUGCAUAAGCCCGACCCCACUCCACCUCCAUUCCCGCGAGAAACCCGCACUCCGCGGACGACAACUCAUUCGGCGUCAGGCAAUUCGCCAGCAACGUUAAGUAAAUUGAUUCUUUAAUUGUCGAGAAUUGGUUACCAGUUGGUUUAACUCGCUUUUGCUCAUGCAUGCCGUACACCCCCGUCCACAAAGCCCCCAUCUUGUGCAGUAAAUGUGGCUAUGGAUGUGGCUAUGGAUGUGGCUAUGGAAGUGGAUGUGGAUAUCGAUGUGAAUGCAAGCAAAGGCGCAGAGUCGUGAAUCGAGAAUGAAAACGAGAAUCGGGCAUUGAGCAUUGAGCAUCGAGCAUCGAGAAUGAAUACAUGAAUACCAGGCCAUGGCGAACAGACAGCAUCGGGUGAGUCAGCGGAUCCAAAAUAAAUAGCCCCGGGCCUCCGUUGAGCAGGAAUUUCUGCACAGACAAGGGCAGGGCCCUCACACCGGGCCACAGCCACGACCACUCCCACUUUCCCAGCCCCCACGACUCCCUCGCAUUUCGAGCAAAACAAAAUCUUUUUUUAUGCUUCGCGCUUCUCGACGCAUUCGCGGUCAUUUGAUGCCUUUUUUUUAUGUUUUUCCCCGCCCGGGCAUUUCAAUUCGCACCAAGCAGGCUACACAAAAUGCCAUGAAAUUCAAUCCACAAAGCGACGAAAAAAAAGUAAAAGAACUCAGAGUUCUGCACAAGAAAUAACUUUACCCGAGUUUAGGAACCUGCUCGAAUUCUUUAGCAAAAUGUAUUUUGAAAAUACGCUGAGUAGGCACAUUUCUAAGGCAAUUAUUACAAAUUCAGAAAACAUGACACUUUCCAGGAGUUGUUUACAUUUUUUGUUGAUUUCAACGAUCAUCGGUUCGACUUGUUGUUAACCCAUGUCAAGCCCCGUCGGACAACUAUGGAAUAUUAAGUAAAUAUGGUAAAUAUGGACUGAGCAAACAUAAAUUCCUGGCGAAACAUGUCAGCAGAUCAGUCGGCGAUCGCCGGAGAGGAAAUGGCUUUGGCUUGGCGCAUACCUACCUAUGAACAUACGAUUUCGCAAUCCAAUCAAUCUGAUCAUAAUCGCAUUGUCUAUGGAUUGGGGGAAAUCGCUCCUACCUAGAAUUGCGGUGAGUCGAGGGGCUAAUUAAUACAGGACCCCGGAUCCGAAUACGAAUACGAAUCCGAAUCCGAAUCCGAUACCGAUCCUCAACCUAACCCUCCUGCUGCUUGGGCCAUCCUAUUGAUCAUCGGAUUGUUUUUGCUCAUUUCCUGGGCCCCGGACAAUGGCUAAAGUCUGGAAUAAUUAACAGCCGUAACCGAUUCGGAAUCACAAAUGGCAAACAGCAAAUGGCAAAUGGCAAUAGCAAAUAGCACCGCUCCCCUCUUCAGACACUUCCUACCGAUCCAGUGAAUGAGCGGGGAAAACUCGAUUGCAUUCAGGCGGCCGCCAUUCAUCGAUCGUGAUAAAUAACUGAAUUAAUGUGACUGCCUCUGGACAAUAAAUUAUUAAGCUUACUGUUCAACUCACUGUAAAAUGUGCUAAAAUUACGCAAGUAAUAAAAACAUUAGCGCUUCACUAUCUAUAAAGAAAAUCAUUUGAAUAAUGCGAAACUCUCGCACAUUUGCAAAAUGUCAGCAGAUGAAAGAUCAGCGAUGAAUCAUUGCGAUAAGUCUGAAUGGUUUAAUGGGAAUCCUCUUUUUUUAUAUCUUACUGAUGAACGAAAAAAACAAGACAUUUAAAAAAAAAAUGAUUGCAAUAAAACUUAUUGACUUGUCAAGAAAUCUUUUGCUAAAUUGUACAAU